CGCAACGCGAAGAACUUUACCAAGGCUUGACAUACACCGGAAAGGUUUGGAGACAGGGGCCCCCUUGUGGUCGGUGUACAGGUGGUGCAUGGCUGUCGUCAGCUCGUGUCGUGAGAUGUUGGGUUAAGUCCCGCAACGAGCGCAACCCUUGUCCCGUGUUGCCAGCAGGCCCUUGUGGUGCUGGGGACUCACGGGAGACCGCCGGGGUCAACUCGGAGGAAGGUGGGGACGACGUCAAGUCAUCAUGCCCCUUAUGUCUUGGGCUGCACACGUGCUACAAUGGCCGGUACAAUGAGCUGCGAUACCGCGAGGUGGAGCGAAUCUCAAAAAGCCGGUCUCAGUUCGGAUUGGGGUCUGCAACUCGACCCCAUGAAGUCGGAGUCGCUAGUAAUCGCAGAUCAGCAUUGCUGCGGUGAAUACGUUCCCGGGCGAUGUACACACCGCCCGUCACGUCAUGAAAGUAGGGAACCUAGAGAGUGCAGGAUGCGCGGGACUACGAGUAAA
Molecule: ribosomal RNA, 504 nt
Filed under: Streptomyces sp.
Lineage: Bacteria; Bacillati; Actinomycetota; Actinomycetes; Kitasatosporales; Streptomycetaceae
Description: bacterial SSU rRNA
Rfam family: Bacterial small subunit ribosomal RNA
Source: RNAcentral